CCUACGGGUGGCAGCAGUGGGGAAUAUUGGACAAUGGGCGCAAGCCUGAUCCAGCAAUGCCGCGUGGAUGAAGAAGGUCUUCGGAUUGUAAAGUCCUUUCGGCGGGGACGAUGAUGACGGUACCCGCAGAAGAAGCCCCGGCUAACUUCGUGCCAGCAGCCGCGGUAAUACGAAGGGGGCUAGCGUUGCUCGGAAUUACUGGGCGUAAAGGGCGCGUAGGCGGCGAUCUCAGUCAGGCGUGAAAGCCCCGGGCUCAACCUGGGAACUGCGCUUGAGACGGGGUUGCUUGAGGGCGGGAGAGGGUGGUGGAAUUCCCAGUGUAGAGGUGAAAUUCGUAGAUAUUGGGAAGAACACCGGUGGCGAAGGCGGCCACCUGGCCCGUUACUGACGCUGAGGCGCGAAAGCGUGGGGAGCAAACAGGAUUAGAUACCCUUGUAGUC
This 440-nucleotide ribosomal RNA is filed under the name uncultured bacterium. RNAcentral's name for it is "partial 16S ribosomal RNA". It matches the Rfam family "Bacterial small subunit ribosomal RNA", at positions 338 to 795 of the family's 1533-position model. The record is from RNAcentral.